Mirounga angustirostris (Northern elephant seal) is the source of this 4988-nucleotide long non-coding RNA. RefSeq lists it as uncharacterized. Lineage: Eukaryota; Metazoa; Chordata; Mammalia; Carnivora; Phocidae. The record is from RefSeq and is a predicted model, not a curated record. The transcript is spliced from 3 exons.
GCAGCGGACUGGAGGUUUCCUGGUCUGGGAAGGACGCGGUCCCCGAGCGCACCCAUCCCUGACGGUUUUCGCCAGCCCCGGGGGGUUGGAGUCUCUGCGGAGUAAGCCCCUGUCUUCUCGUGGGCAGGGCCUCAGGGAGGGGGCGACAUUCUGGACUAGCCUAGGUCCAUGCCUCUGGCCAAGAGAGGCGGGCUGCAGGCUUGCCAGUUCAGGGAACGCUUGGAAGGCACCCCAGGGUCGCCCAAGUGCGCCCUAUCUGUAAAACGUAGAAAGGCAAACGGCACGAGGAGUGGAGCCAAAUGGGGAAGAAGAGGAGUCUAAAAGGCUCUGGAGGCCCGGGUACGGCUCUGCGGCUUGCUGCUGCCCCCCCAGUGAAGGCCGAACAGAAGACACCUGCUGGUGGGCGCGGCUGGGCACGGCUGGGCGCAGGCGACACUCACCACCAGAGGGCCACACACAGCACCCCGGGCGCCGUGAGCGCCAGCAGCAGCAUCCGCCAGUCUCGGAUGAAGUAAGCAAACAGCGGCAGCAGCAUGUAGCCAAACGCGUAAAAUAUGCACACUCCUAGCGUGGAGAAUAGAAUACGAACCGGCUUGCCAAGAAUUUCUGUUCCUGUUCGAAAACAAGGGAGGAGGCAUGUUAGUCCUUUCGUUUAGGUCAUUUCCUCACUCAUCUUCUCUUGUAUGAUUCUCAACAUACAGGAAAGGGAGCAGCCCCGCCCUAGGGAGGGAUGGGAUUCUGAACCUGCUGCAGGCUGAACACCUGCUGGGGGUGCCCCCCUGGGACCUCUUAGGCUUCCCAGGGACGGUUCCGCCUUGCAAAUUUCAUCACUUUCCCCAAGCCAUAUGCUAAAGAUGCCAUGUGAGGCCUCAAAGUGUAAUCCUCACGUGAGGAAGAAUUUAUGAAAGGGGAAGCCAUCAUGAAGGACACACAUGCGGGCUCAAGGAAAUAUUCUUUUAAAAAGAUUAUUCUACUGGAUGUGAAGAGAAAGAAAUAGUCCUUUCAACAUACAACCCAAGGAACCCAAAGACCAAUAAGCUAGAGUGAGACUCCUCCAAACAGUGAGACUGGUGACUGUUGAGUGAGAAUAAGCCAAAGCCCCACAGUGUGUACUCGGAAUUAAAACUCUUAAGGUCUUGAGACUCAAGUCCAUUCGUAUCAAUUCAUUCUUGCCAGUUUCAGAGAACACAAUGCUUUGCAGAAGAGGCAGCUUUCUUCCUUGACGAGCCUGCCAUUCGUGGUCCCUGUUCCUCAUAUCAUGUCUUUAUCUUUCCUUAACAACCUCAGCCCUGGGAAGGUCCUGUUUUUUCAUUGAUGAUCUUGGGUGAAUUCUAGUAAAAUGGCUAUUGAAUACUAACGGGACCAGAAAAGAUCUGGAACUCAGGCUGUUGUGCUCCUGGGGACUCAAGGCUGGGCAAACUGGGUUCACCACACAGCCCUGGUUGGUGUUGCUAACGACCACUUCCCCUUGAGGGAUACCACGGCCAUCUCUAGAGAGUGGAUGGUGGGGUGACGGUGAAACACAGGAUCAAGUACUCAACUCCAACUUGUUGGCCAUACCCAGGACAAAUGCUGCCACGUAGUUGGAGAUCUGGCCCAUGCCCACAAGGACAAACAGCACAGUAAACAUCUCAAAGUUCUUCGAGAAGACCUGCAGAAAGCUGAAGCCCGUCUGCAUGCCCAUGGUCACAAAGAGCACGUUCUUCCGACCAAACCUGGGAAGGAAAAGAGAGUGACAGAGAUCCAGCUGGGAGAAGGUGGCAGAAAUGGGCCCCACCAAGAGGGAUUUUCCCCAGAGCCAUCCAGGGAGGAGUCAUGGACGAUGCUGCCAGGGCACAUGGCACGGACAGUACCCGUCCCCAGUACUGGGCCUGUUACUCGCCCCCCCACCCUGCCAUCCCCAGGAUCAGUGUGCAGCCCAGGCACUAGGAUGCCCUCAUGACAGUGCCAGAAUUACGAUAAUGACUGCAAGGCAUCGAAAUGCAUUCACUAUACUUAAAUCCAUAUAUUCAUAAUGGUUUUUUUUUUUAAAGGACUGGUUUAUUUUGGAGGAUGAUAAAGAAACAAGUCAUUUUAAAUGAAGACUGGUAAAUAGAGGGAAAGAAACACUUGUCCUGAAAUUCCUAUGUAAAGUAUCUGAACAGGAACCAAUAAUGGAUGAGGGAAAAUAUCAUUUUAUAAAAGUAUUCCAACUAUUAAAUGAAAAAGAAGUGAUAAAAUUAGAAUAUCAACAUUUUAUAUUCCUCAAUAAAUGGGCAUUAUGUUGGGGCAUUAUGUUUCAGUGAUUGCUAACAGUCUUUUCUUGAAGAGACAACUGAAUUAACAUGAUUCCUAGUCUUGCUAAGGGGUAUGAGCCUGGAUCUGAUGAAAUCUCCAGAUCCAGCCACCAAUUUGCAGGAAACGAAGAGAAAGGAGGAAGAUACUGAACUGCACCAUGAGUAUGCAACCAGCAAAAUCCAGCCUGGGAAAUUCUGCAGUGGAACAGCCCUGGGUGCAAAAGAUAAAGUGUCUGGCAAAGAAAAGGAUGGAGGAAGAAUCCCUUCAUCAAUCCCACAAAAACUUAUCAAAAAUUUUUAAGUGGGCAAGACUAAACUUGUGUUUAAAGAUACACAUCUGGAUAAUAAAGCUGCAAAAACCCCACAAGUGAUUACUGUAACAGCCAGGUGCUACGAAGAAAAGGCACAAGGAAGCAGGGCAAUAUAAACCGGGGACCCUGAGUUGGCCUUCACGGUCAAGGAAGGUCACGGGAGUGGUUGGGGAAUGCCGGGAAGAGCACACACAAGCGCGGCUGGAGGGGGCAUGAAGACAUGCGCAGAUAGCAGCCGGCAUCACUGGCGUCAGGCGUUCAACAUGAGACCGCAGGGGUUGGGUGGGGACCAAGCUGCAGAAGGCCCUGUUGCCAUGUUAAAGAGUCUGGUGCUUCUCUCCCCUGAAACAGGUUUUUCGCUUGUUUUUGGUGCUACUAGCAUCUAGCAGGUAGAGGCUGGAGAUGUUCUAAACAUCCUAAAAUGUCCAGGAUAGCGUCCCGUAACACAGAAUUCUCUGGCUCAAAAUGUCCACGGUGCCAAGGCCGAGCAACCCUGUCCAGAAAGAGACCAAGUUGCCCUGCAUUAUUCUAUAACAAGCACGCCCAACACGCCAGCCAAGGGAAGGUCCCUUCCCACAGGGGAGACAGGCGUGACCGCUCCCCAUGCCUUCCCUUCCCACGGGCUCCCUGGGAUGGACGGUAAGGAAGAGAAAGACCCAGCAAAUCCUUACAGAGCACAGUCCUUAGCAACCCAGUCUGGGGUUGGGCUCAGAAAUGCUCACUUUUAAAGUCUGUCAACAAAAUGUCAACCACACAUGUGCUUACAAAAACAGUAAGUACCAGUCUACCUCUUCCCAGGGCUGUGCUCCUCUUGUAAUUCAUGCACAAAACGGCAAUUCAGUAAGGUCAGAUAAAAUGUGGUGACCGCCCAGGAUUAUUUUCACCGCUCUUGAAUUUCAGGCUUAUUGAUCUUUGCCCUAAACGAAAAGUGACUGUGGAUAUCCCAGACAAGCUGAGGUAUGAAUCUACUGCUGAGGUCAUUUGUUUGGCCUAGGUUUUUGAGCCAGCUUACUUAGAAAUAAUGAGAUCAGAAACUGUCCAUCCCACGGAGCCCGGCGCCUUCCAAGGGGGUGUCGCCAAGCUUGUGGGGUGAUGCUGGGAGCUGAAGGGAGGGCCUCAGCCAGAACAGCCACACUUUUAGCUACUUCAUUUACUUGACUUAGAUGCCCUACUUAAAAGAAGUCUGCGGGCGCCUGGGUGGCUCAGUUGGUUAAGCGACUGCCUUCGGCUCAGGUCAUGAUCCUGGAGUCCUGGGAUCGAGUCCCGCAUCGGGCUCCCUGCUCAGCAGGGGGUCUGCUUCUCCCUCUGCCCUCUUCCCUCUCGUGCUCUCAUUCUCUCUCUCUCAAAUAAAUAAAUAAUAUCUUUAAAAAAAAAAAAAAGAAGUCUGCUGAUGAGAUUUCUAGAGGGUUUGUAAAACACUGUACUUGUCCUUCAGAAGACUAAGGUGGUCCUCAACAUACUCAUUAAUUUUGCUUCUAGUGUUUCCCUGGGAUCAGAUCUGUGGAAAUGAAACACUUUCCUCAUACAAUCACCGUGUUCAUGGUAAUCAGGUUCUCAGGCUAGCCCACGAAGGUCUGCUUAACCCAUGACAGAGGUGACCCAGAAAAAUGCACUGAGUUUCAACUUUGAACUUGGGGCACCUCCUCCUUGAUUUUCACAUCAAGGAAAUUCCUCUUUCAGCUGCCACUCAACCCUGUGACAGGGAUCUCCCAGCAGCCCACCUGGAAGGUCUCAAAGCUCCAUCCUGGGCAGCCCCUCUUCCCAUUCUACACUCGCUCUGGGCAAUCUCUUCCACGCUCCGGAUGCUUUGUUGAGGGUCCUAUGGAGCUGACAAUUCCCAAAUGUAUUUCUCCAGCCUACACCUUUCAUGGAACACCAGGGCCACACAUCCAACUGCAGGCUCACUUCAUCCAUUUAGGACUCUUAGUCACCCCAAAUUCAGUACAUUCAAACUGAGCUCUGCAUCUUCUCCUACAAACAUGAUCUUCUUCCAGAGUUCCUUGUCUUAGAGAAUGGCAUCGUCAUCAGCUCCGCUGUAUAGGCCCAAAAUUUCCCCUCACUUCCCACAUCCAACCCACAGCCAAGUCCUGUUGGUUGGAUCUCCUACCUCUCUUCUCCAUUUCUACCACUGUCAGCCUAGUCCAAACCAUCAUCAUUUCCCACAUAAAUUAUUGUGACAGCCUCUUAAUUGGUCUCUCCACAACCCCUCUUUCUCCCUUUUAAUCCUUUCUCUGCAAAGUUAUCAGAUAAUCAUUAAAAAUAUAUAAAUCUGAUUACGCUGUACUCCUGCUUUAUAAAACUCUCAGUAGCUCCCCACUGCUCUGUGACUAAACCACAGACUCCUACGUAUCAUCAGCUAAGCCUGGCCUGCUCUUCUGCUUGGGCCUCCACCUGCCUCACC